UACGGGGGGGGCAAGCGUUGUUCGGAAUUACUGGGCGUAAAGGGCUCGUAGGCGGCCAACUAAGUCGGAUGUGAAAUCCCCAGGCUUAACCUGGGAACUGCAUCCGAUACUGGAUGGCUUGAAUCCGGGAGAGGGAUGCAGAAUUCCAGGUGUAGCGGUGAAAUGCGUAGAUAUCUGGAGGAAUACCGGUGGCGAAGGCGGCAUCCUGGACCGGCAUUGACGCUGAGGAGCGAAAGCUAGGAGAGCAAACGGG
Molecule: ribosomal RNA, 253 nt
Filed under: uncultured bacterium
Lineage: Bacteria
Description: partial 16S ribosomal RNA
Rfam family: Bacterial small subunit ribosomal RNA
Source: RNAcentral